CCUACGGGAGGCUGCAGUGGGGAAUAUUGGACAAUGGGGGCAACCCUGAUCCAGCCAUGCCGCGUGUGUGAAGAAGGCCCUCGGGUUGUAAAGCACUUUCAGUGAGGAAGAACGCCUGGUGGUUAAUACCCAUCAGGAAAGACAUCACUCACAGAAGAAGCACCGGCUAACUCCGUGCCAGCAGCCGCGGUAAUACGGAGGGUGCGAGCGUUAAUCGGAAUUACUGGGCGUAAAGCGCGCGUAGGUGGCUUGAUAAGCCGGUUAUGAAAGCCCCGGGCUCAACCUGGGAACGGCAUCCGGAACUGUCAAGCUAGAGUGCAGGAGAGGAAGGUAGAAUUCCCGGUGUAGCGGUGAAAUGCGUAGAGAUCGGGAGGAAUACCAGUGGCGAAGGCGGCCUUCUGGACUGACACUGACACUGAGGUGCGAAAGCGUGGGUAGCAAACAGGAUUAGAUACCCUGGUAGUC
RNAcentral lists this ribosomal RNA (465 nucleotides) under Vreelandella stevensii. Its description in RNAcentral is "partial 16S ribosomal RNA". It matches the Rfam family "Bacterial small subunit ribosomal RNA", at positions 338 to 795 of the family's 1533-position model. The record is from RNAcentral. Lineage: Bacteria; Pseudomonadati; Pseudomonadota; Gammaproteobacteria; Oceanospirillales; Halomonadaceae.